RNAcentral lists this ribosomal RNA (480 nucleotides) under uncultured bacterium. Its description in RNAcentral is "partial 16S ribosomal RNA". It matches the Rfam family "Bacterial small subunit ribosomal RNA", at positions 28 to 507 of the family's 1533-position model. The record is from RNAcentral.
GACGAACGCUGGCGGCGUGCUUAACACAUGCAAGUCGAGCGAUGAAACUUUAACAGAACCCUUCGGGGCGUAGAUACAGUGGAUUAGCGGCGGACGGGUGAGUAACACGUGAGUAACCUGCCUUAGACAUUGGGCUAGCCCCGGGAAACCGGGAUUAAUACCAAAUAAAAUCAUAAUGACACAUGUCAUUACGAUCAAAACUCCGGUGAGCUAAGAGGGAAUCGCGUCCCAUUAGCUAGUUGGUAGCGUAAAAGCCUACCAAUGCGAGGAUGGGCAGCCUGCCUGUGAGGGAGAACCGCGACAUUGGAACGAGGCAGCGGUAGGAACUCCUACGGGAGGCAGCAGUGCCGGAUGUUGCACCGUGGAGGGAGCUCUGAUGGAGCGAGGCCGGGUAAACGAUGAUGGCUUUCGAGUCGUAAAGUUCUUUUAUAUGGGAAGAUAAUGACGGUACCAUAAGAGAAAGCCCCGGCUAACUACGUG